This 428-nucleotide ribosomal RNA is filed under the name uncultured bacterium. RNAcentral describes it as "partial 16S ribosomal RNA". It matches the Rfam family "Bacterial small subunit ribosomal RNA", at positions 354 to 796 of the family's 1533-position model. The record is from RNAcentral.
GUGGGGAAUAUUGCGCAAUGGACGAAAGUCUGACGCAGCGACGCCGCGUGAGUGAUGAAGGCCUUAGGGUCGUAAAGCUCUGUUGAAUGGGAAGAAAAAAAUGACGGUACCAUUCGAGGAAGGACCGGCUAACUUCGUGCCAGCAGCCGCGGUAAUACGAGGGGUCCUAGCGUUGUUCGGAAUCAUUGGGCGUAAAGGGUGUGUAGGUGGCCAUGUAAGUCAGGUGUGAAAGCCCCGGGCUCAACCCGGGAAGUGCACUUGAUACUGCGUGGCUUGAGUACCGAAGAGGGUAGUGGAAUUCCAGGUGUAGUGGUGAAAUACGUAGAUAUCUGGAGGAACACCGGUGGCGAAGGCGGCUACCUGGUCGAGUACUGACACUCAGACCCGAAAGCGUGGGGAUCAAACAGGAUUAGAUACCCUUGUAGUCC